GUAUAUUCACGCAAAUAUAUGAAACAAAGCCAUUUCCUGUUUGUUUCCAUUGAGAAGUUUCAAAAUCCUAGAUGGAAAUAAUUUCUGUUGAUUUAAAUCAUAACCGAUCAAGUCAUUGAAAGAGAUGAAUUCAGGGCUAUAUUUAAAUUAUUAGGUAUUAUCAGCCAUCCCCAAUGAUGUUUAGGAAAAUGAUAAGCUGAUCAUGAAAGACUUUGGCUACUGUGGUCAACAAACCAUCAGAACUUCAUCUGGUUACCUUUCUAUGUUGUCGUCAUAAGAGAGAACAGCACGGAGACCGUCAUUGAGCCUGAUGGAUUAGUGAAGUGUACGAUGUAGGAAAUAUAAGCUUUGUAUAAAAAGAAUUAACCAGGUUCGAAACAGGUUCAAAACAGUACAUAAUGAACUAGAUUUGCUACUGGAGUUGUACUAGAAAUAACCUAACCGUUGUGGUAGACCAAACAUUAUUGACCUAAUAUAUAAGCAUGUCCAAUGGAAACAGUAUUAGAAGAGUGGCACAUGGAUCAGUGGAAGUGUGCGGAGCUGACACACAUGUUGGUCUUUGUCUUCUUUUUUCUUUCUUUAUAAUAGACAUUAUCCUAGAAACAGCGUCUGCAAAUGAUUAAAAUAGUGUCAUUUUGUUUGAAUCUUGUCUUGAUAACAUAUGAUAUAGGUGUAAUCCAAAUAGGAUUUAUCCCUUUCACUUACAACGUAUGAUUUUCCCAAAAGCCAUGUGUAUAUAUUUAGGAAGCAGCAUUGUAGUGUAAGUUCUAUUUCAAAUUACAAAUCCUAGAAAUAAUAAAACUUCUUGUAUUACACAAAAAAUUGUGUACGUCUAAAGAACUAACAGAAAGGCAAUCAUGCUUGCCUGAAAGCCGCUUUUAAAAAUUAAUUUGUGUUGCCCUAACAUCGCUCAAUAUAUGUUGUUCAAGGAUGAUUUGAAGCAUCAAUAUAUGUUAUUCAAAGAUGAUCUGUAACAUCUAUGUAUGUUGCCCUUAUGGCAAUAUAAAUCAUCAAAACCAUAUUAACUUUUCAAUUAAAUAACGUUUCAAUUGACUGAAAUAUUCACGGCAAAACAGAGAUUUAGCUACAUCAUCCAUGUUCUAACAAAACUAUUGUAGACUGAACAAAUGUUCUAACAAAACUAUUGUAGACUGAACAAAUGUUCUAACAAAACUAUUGUAGACUGAACAAAUGUUCUAACAAAACUAUUGUAGACUGAACAAAUGUUCUAACAAAACUAUUGUAGACUGAACAAAUGUUCUAACAAAACUAUUGUAGACUGAACAAAUGUUUUUUUUACCUUUUUUUCUUGAGGAGAUUACGUUAUUUAUAUCAACAAUUAUCUCCCCUUGUUAUUUCUAUAUGCUCCAUAAUGAUAUUUUGCACCUAUGUUUAUGUUGUGUUGCACCCUCUUGUUCCCAGUCUAAAAGAUCAGCGGGUGGUUGACAAGGCAGCGGGUGGUUGACAAGGCAGCGGGUGGUUGACAAGGCAGCGGGUGGUUGACAAGGCAGCGGGUCGAGCAGGCCUAAGCAAAGUAAGCAAAUCUAGAAUAUAAGAUACACUGGGAGAAGGUCGCAAUACCGAGUUUAGAGUUUCCGUUCUCUCUCUUUCGCUCGUGAGAGAGUACCAUGGAAGUAUUGAGGCACAUUGAAGCCGAGUGAGGGAGUACCAUGGAAGUCUUGAGGCACAUUGAAGCCGAGUGAAAGAGUACCAUGGAAGUAUUGAGGCACAUUGAAGCCGAGUGAGAGAGUACCAUGGAAGUCUUGAGGCACAUUGAAGCCGAGUGAAAGAGUACCAUGGAAGUCUUGAGGCACAUUGAAGCCGAGUGAAAGAGUACCAUGGAAGUCUUGAGGCACAUUGAAGCCGAGUGAGAGAGUACCAUGGAAGUCUUGAGGCACAUUGAAGCCGAGUGAAAGAGUACCAUGGAAGUCUUGAGGCACAUUGAAGCCGAGUGAAAGAGUACCAUGGAAGUCUUGAGGCACAUUGAAGCCGAGUGAAAGAGUACCAUGGAAGUCUUGAGGCACAUUGAAGCCGAGUGAAAGAGUACCAUGGAAGUCUUGAGGCACAUUGAAGCCGAGUGAAAGAGUACCAUGGAAGUCUUGAGGCACAUUGAAGCCGAGUGAAAGAGUACCAUGGAAGUAUUGAGGCACAUUGAAGCCGAGUGAGAGAGUACCAUGGAAGUAUUGAGGCACAUUGAAGCCGAGUGAGAGAGCCUCGUUAAGUCCUUGAGUAGUCCGCUUUGAUAAGAAACUUAAGUUAGAGCUGCAUUGAUUUCGUUCUCUAUACACAAUGUGCAGAUUUUGUCGUUUCUAGGAAAUGUGUUGCUCAAAUGCCUUUUUGGUUGGCAUUGGAAGCGAAAAUUCAAUUAGCAAUCGAACAAAUGAGAUUUAAAACCAGUUUUUUUCCUUCUUCACACUUUUGCUCAAUCUCAGAUAUUUUUUUUUACAGAAUUAGGUUUUUACAUUAUUUUGAAAAUAAAUCAGUUCUAAUGUAAUAUGCACAUACUUCAAAUCAACGUACUUCGUCAUUUAGUUUUCUAUAUAAAACAUGACGACCUCAACUCCUAUUUGUGCUAGUAAUAAACACAUCUGCAAAGAAUCAAAACGAGGUUUCUAAACUCACUUUGGACCAAGCACAAUUUUCUCUUUGCUACUAUUAUGUCCAUAUUUUGGAAAAAAAAAAGAGUUCUCCGGGCUGAGUUGAUCCAAAAACUAAACGUUUCUGUCCUUGUUUAAGAAAAGUAAAAUUAGCCACAACAACUCGAAAAUGAGCUUAAUUUAAAAGAAUUCAGAUUAGAUCCUACAAUGUUGCCUAACAGAUUAAUAUUUGUUUUUAUAUUCAAGUGGCGCUGUUAUUUACUUAUAGGCCAAUUGUUGUAUUCAUUCCUUCGGUGCAGACACAUUCCAAUCUUUUCAAUCAAAUAUUUAAUGGCAUACAUGCUCUGUUUUUAGAAGGAAUGGUCAUGAUAUAAAAUAAAGUCGAAUAAAAUUUUAAAUUUCCGCUCACGUGCUGUUUUCUUGCAUUCAGAAUAGGCAGGCCGGUCUAUCUUAAUUGUUUCAGUUCUACAAAGUCUGCUAUGCAUAGUUUUUGUGCGAACUCAUUUCUCUGUAACAUGAAAUCAUUUCUGACCACAUUGCACAGUAGACGAGAAUAUGAGUUAUAUUUUGAAAACCUCUUCUAAGUUGUUUUGUUUCUUCCUACGGCACAGCGUAUGUUAAUUACAUAUGGGCGACAAUAUAUUUCUUUCAAUUUUCUAUUCAUGGGAAAUGGAAUUUGAUCUAUAAAUAGGCCUUCUAAUAUACCGAUUCUUAAGCGAAAUUUCAAAUUUAAGUAUUUCUAGCGGUUUUAGUUUGAAUGUACUAAAGAUAAUGACAAAUUUCAAUUAAAAUACAAUAUUAAUAUAAGGACAACUAAACACUAAAAAGAUCAUUUGCAAUUUGAACUAUCAUUGCAUUGUCAUGGAUAUGUCUAGCCAGUGUAGGACAUGUUAAAGAAAGUCACUGCUAUUUUGAAUCCCAUAGAAGAUCAAAUUGUAAUUACCUUUUAAUGUUAGAAAGUAACUUAGCUAGUAUGAUUUUAUAUCAAAUCGAACAUUAUGUAUGUUUAUUAAAUAUGAUUAAUGACCUCGUAGUCGUGUGUCUCAAAAUGCUGAAGAGGCUGGUGUAUGUAUUGAAGUCAUUUCAAAUGUCCAGAUUUGCAGUGUUUUAAGUUAGAGUUUAUUCGUCAACGCAAGGGACGUAACUCGGUGUUCCCUCAAUGGGAAAGUCUUCUGUACUUCCCACUCUCCCAAACCGCUGAGCUGUUCAUUUGAGCGCGGACGUAGUGGGCUUUACAAGUAAAGAGUUGUUCAAGUUUAGGUCAUCAUUACGGGCUGUAAUAGUUUAAACCUUUAGAUUGUCUUGCUGUGUAGUUUUUGCUGGAUUGUAGGUUAUUGAAACAUAUCCUUUCCUAUAUGGUCAGAGCUAAUGAGACCCAAAUUUCUUUUCCACACUUUUGGUCAGUUGCUAAAUCAAUUCCCAUCUAAACAUCCAAAUCUUCUGUUUUCACUACUAUACUGAACAAAUAAAAAAUGCGCAGGGAUAUAUGGAGUACUUCUACCUUUGUCGUCAUCUUUAGCGUAGGAUUAAAUCAAGUUGUUAAACAUCAUCCGUAGUAAAAGAUUGCUCCAUAUUACAUAUAUUGAAGCCACAAAGUCAUGAAAAAUCGGCCACAAUAUGGAAAUAGCUGAUAAUUUUAAAGCUACCUUUUGGUGUUUCACUUAAGAGUAAGUACAAACUUGUUUGUAUGAAGUCUAUGCAUAGUGUAUAAUGUACAUCAACAUGUUUUGAAACAAUAUUUCAAUGCUGGUUCGUUUCGCAGUUUUAUUUCAAAUACAUCUUUUGACUUCCAAGUGUAUGAACUAUGAAACCAUUUCAAAGAAACAAAUAUGUCAAUGUCGUAUUCUAAAGUCAUUCUCCAAACUAAGAAACCAUUUGGAAAGAAACAAAUAUAAGAAGUACAUCAUAUACUUCAAAAAGUACAACCAUCACGCUCCUGGUAACGUACAAAGUAUGGUCUCAUGUACAUUUCAUGUGAAUGUUCAUUUCACAAUUCAAAUCGAUACUGGAGGUUAAAGUUAAAAGUCCUCAGGACUAAGCGAAUAUGACACUUUUAUGCGCAAGCAGCAAGGUCGUGAUUAAUUACAGAACUCUUAACAGACGAGAACAAUGGCGGACAUUCAAGACCUGUUAAUGAUACAACAUACUUGUCUGUGCUUGCAAACACUAACAGCGAACACCCCGGAACAACGCUGAGCAAGGCUGUACUCUGCUGACCAAAGUUCGUUCUCUUCUAAAAAAUAAAUGUUGUGGUUGGAACUAUCCGAAAAAAAAAAUCAGAUACGCAGACGUUGUUCUAUGGUCCACCAUAUCAGACCCCAGGGGCGAAACGGAUCUUCUGAUGGUUCCCUUUUAGUAAAUAACAAGGCGGAUUUACUUAAUCUUUAAACAAGACCGUCUUGCAAUGCAUAUCUAUUAUCUAUUUUUAAAAAAGGUGAUCAAGGCGUUACUCUGUUCUCAAAUUGUGCAAAAUCCUCCUUGGCUAACUUUAUACUCAAGAAAGUGAUGUAGAUGUAAGCGCUAUAAAAAUCAACCCAGGCGCCAUUUCGUCCUCACUGACAUAGAGGAAAGUAGCUGGCAGCGGAUGACAUCUGAAAGAGACAGUUGGAGAGCUCUCACAAAAGGCUGCGGGACAAACAUUUGAGAUUCAAAGAAAAGCCAUUAUUGAAGACAGGCGCAGAAGACGGAAAGAAAACGUAACGUAGAUCUUAAUUAACAGGCUGACAGUGGACAACGGCUUUGUCUGCAGGAAAUGCGGGAAAAUAUGCAGGUCGCAACCUGGUUUGCGUAGCCACGUGAAACACUGCAAUCAUCACUAAUCUCCGGAAUGGAAGACAUUGCCAUUAUUAUUAUAUGUAAGCUAGUGUAGUUUCAAAAAAACAAUCUUUUGCUAUGCAAUAAAUGCAUGAAACGUACAGGGAACAGUAAGUUACAUACAGACAUCAAAACCAUUUGACCAAUCUGGAUAAAACUUGGCAUAAAUGUUCCUUAGAUCACAACGGUGAUCUUUGUGUAUUUUAAAGACCUAUUAUCGAACUUGUCUUGAUUUUUAUCAAUAUGUAACUUAUUUAAUUCAUAUAAUUGACCUUAAAAAAUGUUGGUCUUUUUUUUUUCAUUUUAAAAUUAAACAUUCGCUUUAAUUGUAUUAAUUAUAUAUUUUGAAUUUAGUUAUCGCGCUAGAUCUAGGUCAAGUCUAAGGAUACAACAUCUGUAUCUGUUAUGUAGGUCUACCCCAAAUUCUUUAGUCAUUGACAACUGUGGUUUAAAUAUUCCUUAGAUUCAGAUCUAUAUAGCUUAAUACAAGAACGUUUUUAACUUACAUUGUAAUAGUCAAGAAUUGCUAUUUGCUGCAGUCUACUGAGAAUAUUUCACUGUUUAUGUGAACAAGCAAACGUCAUGAGAUUUGACACUGCCAAAAGGGUGACACUCUCUGGGGUCUUUUGAACAUACUAAUAUAACAUUCUUAAUUUAUAUACUUAUGGUACGCUCCCAUUCAAUUUAUAGCAAUCGAUCAUACUUUUCAGAUCUAUUUACUCUAAUUUAAAUCUUGGUUUAGAACUUACGUGGGUGUUUUAGCAUUGAACUAGCCUAUUUUAUUUCUUGGAUAAGUAGCAUAGAAAAGAUGACACUGGUAAUCUAGCCCUCCCCCCUCCCACCCAUUGUGAGCUCUGAAAAUGAUGCCCACUAAGGUAUAUACAAAACGAUUAUUUAGGUCUAUUUCAAAUACAUAGAAUUCAUUCAUAUAGUUUGAUAGAACAUAAGCCACGCACUAUCCACUACGUUUUCUCUUGGCUGUAACAAAAUAAAAUGAAAAAAGAUGUGCAUCAAUGUGGAAGAAACUUGCUACGAAUAGGAAGCUUUUCCUAAACACGACCGCAGUGGGUCAGUAGGCCUAAAGCUCACAGUUUCUCACCAGGAUAGGGAAAUGGCAUUAUAUAUACGUACAAAUCUACCUGACCAGAGGAGAGUACGGGAAUAUAACUAUGAUCAUUAUUUUGCUUGAUUGUUAUGCCAAGCUAAUUAAUUUAAUUACUCAAAUACGAGAAAAGUGGUGCCCUGCGAGCAUUUUAUAUAUAUUAUUACGAAUUAUUAAAAAGCAUAGAUACCUUUUCAUAUAUAAGCAAAAGAAAAUAUUUUUUUUUAAUUCGAGAAAAGCCGGGUAAAAUUAUAGCUAGUGUGAUAUCUAAAAAUCGAUUUUGUCAAGUCACUUAGGUUGGCAUAUUUUUAAAGUUCAAUAGCCUUAUUGUGCAUUAUGAUUUUUAUAAGUUCGGUUAUGUUAAUAAAUGAGCUCACAUUAUGGUGUUUGUCACCAGUUUAGUGUGGAUGAUGCACAACAGAUUAUUUAGUGCUGAAAUAAGUCUAUAAAAUGAAAAGACCAAAAGCACACUAUUUAUUUGAAUUAACUUCUUGAAUAAAUAUUUUACUUUUUACAAAAGUACGUAUUUAUAACAUUGUCUGCAUACUACAAGUAUUUGUGUCUGUCAACUUGUGUGAUUCGUUUUUAUGUGUAUUCACUGUGUGACGGAGUUGAAAUGAUUAUAUACUCAUACAUUCACGUUCAAUUAUUAUUAUUAUUAAAAAGACUAAACAGCAAGAAUGUCUUAUAUUUAUAUUUAAUGUAAAAUUUUCAGACGAUAGGUCUCUAAUGUUGUCUAUAACAUCGUAGAGUUUGUUUCAUUUAUCAUCUUAUGUAAUCUAUAAUAUUGUAGAGUUUGUUUCAUUUGUCGUCCUAAUACACGAUCCAUGUAUUCAGCACUUCUAGUCAAAGUCAUUUUUGUUGUUUUUAUAUCCUUCUUUCUUUUUAUUCAACUGUUCGAGAAUUCCAUGUUAAGUAGACAUAGCUACUUUAGACACGCCAUUUCAUCCUGGUUAUAUUGUCCAUGUUAAGUAGACAUAGCUACUUUAGACACGCCAUUUCAUCCUGGUUAUAUUGUCCAUGUUAAGUAGACAUAGCUACUUUAGACACGCCAUUUCAUCCUGGUUAUAUUGUCCAUGUUAAGUAGACAUAGCUACUUUAGACACGCCAUUUCAUCCUGGUUAUAUUGUCCAUGUUAAGUAGACAUAGCUACUUUAGACACGCCAUUUCAUCCUGGUUAUAUUGUCCAUGUUAAGUAGACAUAGCUACUUUAGACACGCCAUUUCAUCCUGGUUAUAUUGUCCAUGUUAAGUAGACAUAGCUACUUUAGACACGCCAUUUCAUCCUGGUUAUAUUGUCCAUGUUAAGUAGACAUAGCUACUUUAGACACGCCAUUUCAUCCUGGUUAUAUUGUCCAUGUUAAGUAGACAUAGCUACUUUAGACACGCCAUUUCAUCCUGGUUAUAUUGUCCAUGUUAAGUAGACAAAGCUACUUUAGACACGCCAUUUCAUCCUGGUUAUAUUGUCCAUGUUAAGUAGACAUAGCUACUUUAGACACGCCAUUUUAUCCUGGUUAUAUUGUCCAUGUUAAGUAGACAUAGCUACUUUAGGCACGCCAUUUCAUCCUGGUUAUAUUGUCCUUGUUAAGUAGACAUAGCUACUUUAGACACGCCAUUUCAUCCUGGUUAUAUUGUCCUUGUUAAGUAGACAUAGCUACUUUAGGCAUGCCAUUUCAUCCUGGUUAUAUUGUCCAUGUUAAGUAGACAAAGCUACUUUAGACACGCCAUUUCAUCCUGGUUAUAUUGUCCAUGUUAAGUAGACAUAGCUACUUUAGGCAAGCCAUUUCAUCCUGGUUAAAUUGUCCAUGUUAAGUAGACAUAGCUACUUUAGGCACGCCAUUUCAUCCUGGUUAUAUUGUCCUUGUUAAGUAGACGUAGCUACUUUAGGCACGCCAUUUCAUCCUGGUUAUAUUGUCCUUGUUAAGUAGACGUAGCUACUUUAGGCACGCCAUUUCAUCCUGGUUAUAUUGUCCUUGUUAAGUAGACAUAGCUACUUUAGGCAAGCCAUUUCAUCCUGGUUAUAUUGUCCUUGUUAAGUAGACAUAGCUACUUUAGGCACGCCAUUUCAUCCUGGUUAUAUUGUCCUUGUUAAGUAGACGUAGCUACUUUAGGCACGCCAUUUCAUCCUGGUUAUAUUGUCCUUGUUAAGUAGACGUAGCUACUUUAGGCACGCCAUUUCAUCCUGGUUAAAUUGUCCAUGUUAAGUAGACAUAGCUACUUUAGGCACGCCAUUUCAUCCUGGUUAUAUUGUCCAUGUUAAGUAGACAUAGCUACUUUAGGCACGCCAUUUCAUUCUGGUUAUAUUGUCCAUGUUAAGUAGACGUAGCUACUUUAGGCACGCCAUUUCAUUCUGGUUAUAUUGUCCAUGUUAAGUAGACGUAGCUACUUUAGACACGCCAUUUCAUCCUGGUUAUAUUGUCCUUGUUAAGUAGACAAAGCUACUUUAGACACGCCAUUUCAUCCUGGUUAUAUUGUCCUUGUUAAGUAGACAUAGCUACUUUAGGCACGCCAUUUCAUCCUGGUUAAAUUGUCCAUGUUAAGUAGACAUAGCUACUUUAGGCACGCCAUUUCAUCCUGGUUAAAUUGUCCAUGUUAAGUAGACAUAGCUACUUUAGAACGCCAUUUCAUCCUGGUUAUAUUGUCCAUGUUAAGUAGACAUAGCUACUUUAGGCACGCCAUUUCAUCCUGGUUAUAUUGUCCAUGUUAAGUAGACAUAGCUACUUUAGACACGCCAUUUCAUCCUGGUUAUAUUGUCCAUGUUAAGUAGACAUAGCUACUUUAGACACGCCAUUUCAUCCUGGUUAUAUUGUCCAUGUUAAGUAGACAUAGCUACUUUAGGCAAGCCAUUUCAUCCUGGAUAUAGUAUCCAUACCUACUUUAGGCAAGGCAUUUUUUAUAACCAUUUCAUCUUGAUUACUAUGCCCAUGUUUUCAUAAACCAUCACAAUUUAUUUAUUAUUUGGUACUUUCCUAAUGUUUACUGUGAAUGAGAGUGACCUCAUGUAGAAGACUUGUCUCAAAUGUACUUUCGUCUAUUGUGAAUAAAAGCACACUUUUUUUUUUGUCAAUUGUGAAUAAAAGCACAAAUUUUUUUGUCUUAUUAAUGUCAUAAAUAUCAAAUUAUUUUACAAAAAAAAAAAAAAGGCCUUUUAUCGGCUUGCCAACUGUUCGCUUCGGUUAACUAAUAUAAUUUUCUACUAUAGACAGUAUUUGACUAUAUUAAAUAUCUACAUCUAUGUCGCUUCGGAUAUAGCUACUUAGUUUGGGUAAGAGUAUUCAUUUGUAUAGGAUAGAGUAACUUUUUCCUUACUUCAAAUUUACUUUUUUUCUGAACGCUACAAUGAUUGUGUCUAAAGCUUCUCGUUAAACUUCUAAGCUAGACAAUGUCUGGUCCAACACUAUUGUUAUUUCUAGAUGAACAAAAAGAGUACACUCAAGUGGCUUGUUCCUGAAACAAGUAGUUUGUCGAUCCAUCAUUACUCCAACGGCUGCUGGUUUUCUACUCAGAUAAAACUAGUCAUGCUGAAGAACCAGAAUAGAACCACUUACAAAGUAUUGGGUGAAAGAAGUAUUAGCUUGUAUCGUCUGCUGUACAUUUCCUAAACAUAGAAAGAGAAACAAUCCCAAGGC
This is a long non-coding RNA of Biomphalaria glabrata, 10141 nucleotides long. RefSeq lists it as uncharacterized. The transcript has 2 exons. NCBI's taxonomy places the organism in Eukaryota, Metazoa, Mollusca, Gastropoda, Planorbidae. The record is from RefSeq and is a predicted model, not a curated record.